RNAcentral lists this transfer RNA (73 nucleotides) under Solirubrobacteraceae bacterium. RNAcentral describes it as "tRNA-Ile". It matches the Rfam family "tRNA". Rfam says of the family: Transfer RNA (tRNA) molecules are approximately 80 nucleotides in length. Their secondary structure includes four short double-helical elements and three loops (D, anti-codon, and T loops). RNAcentral also lists the same sequence under 2 other names. The record is from RNAcentral. Lineage: Bacteria; Bacillati; Actinomycetota; Thermoleophilia; Solirubrobacterales; Solirubrobacteraceae.
GGGCCGGUAGCUCAGCGGUUAGAGCCGCGGACUCAUAAUCCGUCAGACGGAGGUUCGAAUCCUCCCCGGCCCA